GAGAAAGGUCACUCCGCCGCGUUAGGUAAAAAAUGAAGCACAACAAUGUUAUCCCUAGCGGCCACUUCAGGAAGCACUGGCAAAACUAUGUCAGGACCUGGUUCAACCAACCUGCCCGGAAAACUAGAAGAAGAAAUGCUCGUCAGGAGAAAGCUGUGAAGAACUUUCCCCGCCCAACUGCUGGUCCACUCCGUCCCAUCGUUCAUGGGCAAACAUUAAAGUACAACAUGAAAGUGAGGGCUGGUAGGGGCUUUUCUCUUGAGGAGUUGAAGGCUGCAGGUAUUCCCAAGAAGCUAGCACCA
RNAcentral lists this unclassified non-coding RNA (302 nucleotides) under Hevea brasiliensis (rubber tree). The record is from RNAcentral. Lineage: Eukaryota; Viridiplantae; Streptophyta; Magnoliopsida; Malpighiales; Euphorbiaceae.